This 68-nucleotide transfer RNA is filed under the name Loxostege aeruginalis. RNAcentral describes it as "tRNA-Asp". Lineage: Eukaryota; Metazoa; Arthropoda; Insecta; Lepidoptera; Crambidae. The record is from RNAcentral.
AAAGAAUUAGUUAAAAAAUAACAUAAAUAUGUCAAAUUUAAAUUAUUAUACUUAAAUAAUAUUCUUUU